Non-coding RNA from Ceratobasidium sp. 394, 94 nucleotides. NCBI's taxonomy places the organism in Eukaryota, Fungi, Basidiomycota, Agaricomycetes, Cantharellales, Ceratobasidiaceae. The record is from the annotation of a GenBank genome assembly.
GGGAUAGAAGCUCAGUGGUUGAGCAAUCGAUUGCAGUAUUACAUAAUAUGCUUACAUAAUCGAUAGGCCGCGUGUUCGAUCCACGCCUGUCCCU